This 495-nucleotide ribosomal RNA is filed under the name uncultured bacterium. RNAcentral describes it as "partial 16S ribosomal RNA". It matches the Rfam family "Bacterial small subunit ribosomal RNA", at positions 30 to 507 of the family's 1533-position model. The record is from RNAcentral.
UGAACGCUGGCGGCGUGCCUAAUACAUGCAAGUCGAGCGAACAGACGAGGAGCUUGCUCCUAUGACGUUAGCGGCGGACGGGUGAGUAACACGUGGAUAACCUACCUAUAAGACUGGGAUAACUUCGGGAAACCGGAGCUAAUACCGGAUAAUAUAUUGAACCGCAUGGUUCAAUAGUGAAAGACGGUUUUGCUGUCACUUAUAGAUGGAUCCGCGCCGCAUUAGCUAGUUGGUAAGGUAACGGCUUACCAAGGCAACGAUGCGUAGCCGACCUGAGAGGGUGAUCGGCCACACUGGAACUGAGACACGGUCCAGACUCCUACGGGAGGCAGCAGUAGGGAAUCUUCCGCAAUGGGCGAAAGCCUGACGGAGCAACGCCGCGUGAGUGAUGAAGGUCUUCGGAUCGUAAAACUCUGUUAUUAGGGAAGAACAAAUGUGUAAGUAACUAUGCACGUCUUGACGGUACCUAAUCAGAAAGCCACGGCUAACUACGUG